UACGUAGGAGGCAAGCGUUGUCCGGAAUUACUGGGCGUAAAGCGCGUGUAGGUGGUGGGACAAGUCUGCUGUGAAAGCGCCUGGCUUAACCGGGCGAGGUCGGCGGAAACUGUCCGACUAGAGGACGGUAGAGGGGGGUGGAAUUCCCGGUGUAGUGGUGAAAUGCGUAGAGAUCGGGAGGAACACCUGUGGCGAAGGCGGCCCCCUGGGCCGGCCCUGACACUGAGGCGCGAAAGCGUGGGGGAGCGAUCCGG
This 254-nucleotide ribosomal RNA is filed under the name uncultured bacterium. Its description in RNAcentral is "partial 16S ribosomal RNA". It matches the Rfam family "Bacterial small subunit ribosomal RNA", at positions 524 to 776 of the family's 1533-position model. The record is from RNAcentral.